GAUGAAGAACGCAGCAAAAUGCGAUAAGUAAUGUGAAUUGCAGAAUUCAGUGAAUCAUCGAAACUUUGAACGCACAUUGCGCCCGCUGGUAUUCCGGCGGGCAUGCCUGUUCGAGCGUCAUUUCAACCCUCAAGCCCCCGGGUUUGGUGUUGGGGAUCGGCUCUGCCCUUCUGGGCGGUGCCGCCCCCGAAAUACAUUGGCGGUCUCGCUGCAGCCUCCAUUGCGUAGUAGCUAACACCUCGCAACUGGAACGCGGCGCGGCCAUGCCGUAAAACCCCAACUUCUGAAUGUUGACCUCGGAUCAGGUAGGAAUACCCGCUGAACUUAAGCAUAUCAAUAAGCGGAGGA
This 348-nucleotide unclassified non-coding RNA is filed under the name soil metagenome. Its description in RNAcentral is "partial contains 5.8S ribosomal RNA, internal transcribed spacer 2, and large subunit ribosomal RNA". The stretch from base 1 to 120 matches the Rfam family "5.8S ribosomal RNA", at positions 35 to 154 of the family's 154-position model. The record is from RNAcentral.